This 514-nucleotide ribosomal RNA is filed under the name Salmonella enterica. RNAcentral describes it as "bacterial SSU rRNA". It matches the Rfam family "Bacterial small subunit ribosomal RNA", at positions 1001 to 1515 of the family's 1533-position model. Lineage: Bacteria; Pseudomonadati; Pseudomonadota; Gammaproteobacteria; Enterobacterales; Enterobacteriaceae. The record is from RNAcentral.
CAGAGAUGGAUUUGUGCCUUCGGGAACCGUGAGACAGGUGCUGCAUGGCUGUCGUCAGCUCGUGUUGUGAAAUGUUGGGUUAAGUCCCGCAACGAGCGCAACCCUUAUCCUUUGUUGCCAGCGGUUAGGCCGGGAACUCAAAGGAGACUGCCAGUGAUAAACUGGAGGAAGGUGGGGAUGACGUCAAGUCAUCAUGGCCCUUACGACCAGGGCUACACACGUGCUACAAUGGCGCAUACAAAGAGAAGCGACCUCGCGAGAGCAAGCGGACCUCAUAAAGUGCGUCGUAGUCCGGAUUGGAGUCUGCAACUCGACUCCAUGAAGUCGGAAUCGCUAGUAAUCGUGGAUCAGAAUGCCACGGUGAAUACGUUCCCGGGCCUUGUACACACCGCCCGUCACACCAUGGGAGUGGGUUGCAAAAGAAGUAGGUAGCUUAACCUUCGGGAGGGCGCUUACCACUUUGUGAUUCAUGACUGGGGUGAAGUCGUAACAAGGUAACCGUAGGGGAACCUGC